GGCUCGUUGGUCUAGGUGUAUGAUUCUUGCUUCGGGUGUGAGAGGUCCCGGGUUCAAAUCCCCGGCGAGCCC
This is a non-coding RNA of Salmo salar (Atlantic salmon), 72 nucleotides long. NCBI's taxonomy places the organism in Eukaryota, Metazoa, Chordata, Actinopteri, Salmoniformes, Salmonidae. The record is from Rfam.